Solanum pennellii is the source of this 1438-nucleotide RNA transcript. RefSeq lists it as uncharacterized. The transcript is spliced from 4 exons. Lineage: Eukaryota; Viridiplantae; Streptophyta; Magnoliopsida; Solanales; Solanaceae. The record is from RefSeq and is a predicted model, not a curated record.
CAUUUCUUUUUUCAACUUUCUCUCUCUACUGAAUAAGUCGAUGGUGAUGAGAUUCUCAAUAUCAGUCUAGUUCAUAUUCUUCUUUGGAUGAUCACACGCAUGGCUUUCUAUGGUGUACGUUGGAUCAUGGCUUUCUAUGGUGUACGUUGUUGUUUCUCAGCUUGUAGAAAGUGGCAGCAAUCCAAGGCCAUUCAGAAGGGAAAAACUCUGGCAGAGUGAUUUGAAGAGUGCAUGGUCGGCUUUCAAAUUGGCUACCACAUCAUUCUUUUUUAGAUUCAGCCUAGUUGUGUAAUCGCAUGAUGAAUUGUGUCAUUUUGGCAUGGUUGAUAGUAUGUCUUCUCUUCUUAUCAGAAACCAUGUUGUAUGGUUGAUUUUUGGGCUUUUUCAUGGUCCGAGCACCAGCUAUCAGCGUUGUCGAGCCUGCAUCAGUCUAUUCUUGAGACAAGGUUGGAUGGAUCACACGCGCAACAGAGAUAAACAACGAGGUCGAGGUCGGGGUACAGUGCCGGCCCGAGAGAGAGGGAUGAUUGUGGAGCAAGAGCCGAAGCCUCAGUUAGACGAGAUUCUUCUGCAGUCGUUAGGGCCAGGACCAACCCAACCAUCACCUACACAAGCUUCCUCCCUCAACCAUUAUGUUAUGGGUACGUAGAUUCUAGCGGAUAUUAGGGGAGUUCAGUAGCAGCAGGCCCCAUCACCAUUUCCAAAGUCAGCUCCAGUACCGCAGGGUCAGCUUGCAGCAGCGGCCCCAGAGGUUCAGCAGUCGCCAUCAACGGUCGUCGUUCAGUAGGAUAUUUUAGACAAAGUUAUGCUACUGAGGGAGCAGAAAAUGCUCGGUUAUAUUUCUAAGACUAUCACGCUGAGUUUUUUGGGGGGUAGUUAGCAACGAUGACUAAGGCUUCCUUACUAUUUGCCAGGAGCGAAUCCAGAAUUUAGGGUUGGUGGAGUCGAGGAGAGCCGACUUCACAACUUAUCAGUUAGGGUCGAGGCAGUAGUUCACUCUUUUAUGGAGACCAAACUAGUUGGGUCCCCGCAAGUGACGUGGACAAAGUUUUCUAAGGCUUUUCUGCCUAGAUAUCCACGGAGCGUCAAAGAUAAACUCCGCGACAAGUUCUCGAGGUUGGAGCAGGUCUUUAUGACGGUAUAUGAGUAUGAAACCAGAAUUCAUGAGUUAUCUUAUCAUGAUAUCAUGAUCUUUCCCAUAAAGGAGGAGAGGGUUAAGUGCUUCGUAAGAGGGUUGAGGUCGCAACUGCGAAUUGAGUCACAAUAUAUGGUUUUAGCGGGCCACUCUUUUCUGGAUGUAAUGGAUCAUGCAUGGACGCUUGUACAGCUUCUUCGCGAGGCCUAGAGACACUUGAAAAUAAUACUUAAAAAAUAAUUAAUUUUAUUAUAUCUUCUUAUUGACCUAUUUUAAAUCAAUCCCCAAUUUAUCGUAACAUAA